This 527-nucleotide ribosomal RNA is filed under the name uncultured Planctomycetota bacterium. RNAcentral describes it as "bacterial SSU rRNA". It matches the Rfam family "Bacterial small subunit ribosomal RNA", at positions 373 to 896 of the family's 1533-position model. The record is from RNAcentral. Lineage: Bacteria; Pseudomonadati; Planctomycetota.
GGGCGCAAGCCUGACCGAGCGACGCCGCGUGCGGGAUGAAGGCCCUCGGGUUGUAAACCGCUGUCAGGGGGGAUGAAAUCAUCCGGGGUACUCCCCGGAUGUUGACAGAGCCCCAGAGGAAGCACGGGCUAAGUUCGUGCCAGCAGCCGCGGUAAUACGAACUGUGCGAACGUUAUUCGGAAUCACUGGGCUUAAAGGGUGCGUAGGCGGCCAUUUAAGUAGGGUGUGAAAUGCCCCGGCCCAACCGGGGAAUGGCGCUCUAAACUGAAUGGCUUGAGUGAGCUAGGGGUUUGCGGAACUUCCGGUGGAGCGGUGAAAUGUGUUGAUAUCGGAAGGAACACCGUUGGCGAAAGCGGCAAACUGGGGCUUAACUGACGCUGAGGCACGAAAGCCAGGGGAGCGAACGGGAUUAGAUACCCCGGUAGUCCUGGCUGUAAACGCUGAGUACUAGUUGGGAGGGGCUUCGGCCUUUCCGGACGCAGCGAAAGCAUUAAGUACUCCGCCUGGGGAGUAUGGUCGCAAGGCUG